Non-coding RNA from Nemania serpens, 129 nucleotides. NCBI's taxonomy places the organism in Eukaryota, Fungi, Ascomycota, Sordariomycetes, Xylariales, Xylariaceae. The record is from the annotation of a GenBank genome assembly.
GGUGAGAUGGCCGAGUGGUUAUGGCGCUGCGUUCAGGAUUCUCCGUAUCCAUCUCGAUACAGAUUUGUUAACGCUGAACAAAAUUUCGCAGUGGAGCAAUCCGCGUGGGUUCGAGUCCCACUCUCAUCA